ACCGUCCCGUUGUUGGUUAAUUAUCAAAUUUAGCUCUUUAAAUAAAUGACUUAAACAGUUAAUUGGUUCAGUUACUUAUCACCUUUGAAUUCAUAUGGUUUUAUGAAUGUAAUAAUGAAUUUGGGAUUUAUGUGAAAUGGAAAUAGUUUUCUACCCCUCAUGGUAGCGAAUUUUUAAAGAAAAAAGGGUUUCCGUGUGGGAAACUAUUUUUAAAAGAUUUUUUUGGUUUUCACGGUUUAGUAUUUUAAAAUGAGUUUCCGGGUAGAAAAUAUUUUAAAUUGAUAAAAUAUGAAUUGAUGAAUAUUUGUGAUGAAAUAAAUAUGGUUAUGAACGGUNGGAAAUAGUUUUCUACCCCUCAUGGUAGCGAAUUUUUAAAGAAAAAAGGGUUUCCGUGUGGGAAACUAUUUUUAAAAGAUUUUUUUGGUUUUCACGGUUUAGUAUUUUAAAAUGAGUUUCCGGGUAGAAAAUAUUUUAAAUUGAUAAAAUAUGAAUUGAUGAAUAUUUGUGAUGAAAUAAAUAUGGUUAUGAACGGUGUAUGAUUAUCUGUGGAUGUUCAUAUGUGUGGUUGUAUUUGGUAUAGUAAAAUGUAUCAUGUACUUUUACGAUGCUGUGCAAAUACAGGGGAGAUUCUGUCCAAGUGAACAGUGGACUUCCUGUAUUUGUGGCGGAUAUGGCAUACCCUAGGGGUCAAUAUUUUUUUUAAAAAAAAAUUGGGCACUUCUGCAUGGAAU
RNAcentral lists this long non-coding RNA (731 nucleotides) under Ananas comosus (pineapple). Its description in RNAcentral is "long non-coding RNA (ACOM_LNC022093)". The record is from RNAcentral. Lineage: Eukaryota; Viridiplantae; Streptophyta; Magnoliopsida; Poales; Bromeliaceae.